Molecule: ribosomal RNA, 576 nt
Filed under: Caballeronia sp.
Lineage: Bacteria; Pseudomonadati; Pseudomonadota; Betaproteobacteria; Burkholderiales; Burkholderiaceae
Description: bacterial SSU rRNA
Rfam family: Bacterial small subunit ribosomal RNA
Source: RNAcentral
GGGGCAACCCUGGUGGCGAGUGGCGAACGGGUGAGUAAUACAUCGGAACGUGUCCUGUAGUGGGGGAUAGCCCGGCGAAAGCCGGAUUAAUACCGCAUACGAUCUACGGAAGAAAGCGGGGGAUCCUUCGGGACCUCGCGCUAUAGGGGCGGCCGAUGGCAGAUUAGCUAGUUGGUGGGGUAAAGGCCUACCAAGGCGACGAUCUGUAGCUGGUCUGAGAGGACGACCAGCCACACUGGGACUGAGACACGGCCCAGACUCCUACGGGAGGCAGCAGUGGGGAAUUUUGGACAAUGGGGGAAACCCUGAUCCAGCAAUGCCGCGUGUGUGAAGAAGGCCUUCGGGUUGUAAAGCACUUUUGUCCGGAAAGAAAACUUCUCCAUUAAUACUGGGGGAGGAUGACGGUACCGGAAGAAUAAGCACCGGCUAACUACGUGCCAGCAGCCGCGGUAAUACGUAGGGUGCGAGCGUUAAUCGGAAUUACUGGGCGUAAAGCGUGCGCAGGCGGUUCGUUAAGACAGAUGUGAAAUCCCCGGGCUUAACCUGGGAACUGCAUUUGUGACUGGCGAGCUAGAG